GACGAACGCUGGCGGUGUGCUUAACACAUGCAAGUCGAACGGUAAGGCCCUUUCGGGUGUACACGAGUGGCGAACGGGUGAGUAACACGUGAGUAACCGGCCGUCAUCUCGGGGAUAACAGGCGGAAACGGUUGUUAAUACGGGUAAUGAGCUUGCAAGGCAUCUUGUGGGUUGGAAAGAUUUUUUUGGUUGGGGAGGGGCUGGCGGCCUAUCAGCUUGUUGGGGAGGUAGUGUCUCACCAAGGCUUCGACGGGUAGGCGGCCUGAGAGGGCGAGCGGCGACAUUGGGACUGAGAGACGGCCCAAGUGCCUACGGGAGGAAGCAGUGGGGAAUAUUGAACAAUCGACGGAAGUCUGAUGAAGAAGCGCUGCGUGCGGGAUGCUGGCCUUCGGGUUGUCAAAAGCUUUCCAUUGUGACGAAGCUUUUUGUGACGGUAGCAGAAGAAGAAGCACCGGCUAACUACGUG
This 466-nucleotide ribosomal RNA is filed under the name uncultured bacterium. RNAcentral describes it as "partial 16S ribosomal RNA". It matches the Rfam family "Bacterial small subunit ribosomal RNA", at positions 28 to 507 of the family's 1533-position model. The record is from RNAcentral.